CGGCAUGCCAACUAAAAAGGCGGUUGCUCCAUUCUGGACAACUGCUGACGAUACGUGUGCCCAGAGCGAAUCCAAAGCCUUGCUAAAACAGCGGCCUGCUGCUUUCAAUGAGCUAGUCUCUACCUGUAGCCUGGCACAGAU
Molecule: small nucleolar RNA, 141 nt
Organism: Drosophila melanogaster (fruit fly)
Lineage: Eukaryota; Metazoa; Arthropoda; Insecta; Diptera; Drosophilidae
Source: Ensembl